RNAcentral lists this ribosomal RNA (395 nucleotides) under Hemithyrsocera banvaneuensis. RNAcentral's name for it is "partial 12S ribosomal RNA". Lineage: Eukaryota; Metazoa; Arthropoda; Insecta; Blattodea; Blattellidae. The record is from RNAcentral.
UAUUAUUAGUGAUUUAAAUCAUUAUAACUUGAGUAGUAAUAGUUAUGUUCUUGAAACUUAAAGAAUUUGGCGGUAUUUUAGUCUUUUUAGAGGAAUCUGUCCCUUAAUUCGAUAAUCCACGUUGUAUCUUACUUAAGGUUUUAAUUUGUAUACCGCUGUUGUUGAAAAUUUUUUUAGAAUUAAUUUCUUAAGUAUUCUUGGAUAUUUUGUCAGGUCAAGGUGCAGUUUAUACUUAAGGGGUGAUGGAUUACAUUAUUUUAAAAUAUACGGAUUAUUAAUUUGGAUAAUUGAUUAUAAAGGUGGAUUUAAAAGUAAUUUUAUUAAGAAUGUUAGUAUGAUUUUAGCUCUAGAAUAUGUACACAUCGCCCGUCAUUCUCAUUAUUUAUUAAGGUGAG